RNAcentral lists this ribosomal RNA (506 nucleotides) under uncultured bacterium. Its description in RNAcentral is "partial 16S ribosomal RNA". It matches the Rfam family "Bacterial small subunit ribosomal RNA", at positions 29 to 523 of the family's 1533-position model. The record is from RNAcentral.
AGUGAACGCUGGCGGUAGGCCUAACACAUGCAAGUCGAACGGCAGCACAGGAGAGCUUGCUCUCUGGGUGGCGAGUGGCGGACGGGUGAGGAAUACAUCGGAAUCUACUCUGUCGUGGGGGAUAACGUAGGGAAACUUACGCUAAUACCGCAUACGACCUACGGGUGAAAGCAGGGGACCUUCGGGCCUUGCGCGAUUGAAUGAGCCGAUGUCGGAUUAGCUAGUUGGCGGGGUAAAGGCCCACCAAGGCGAAGAUCCGUAGCUGGUCUGAGGGGAUGAUCCGCCACACUGGCACUAAGACACGGUCCAGACUCCUACGGGAGGUAGCCGUUGGGAAUAUUGGAAGAUGGACGCAAGCCUGCUCCAGCCAUACCGCGUGGGUGAAGAAGGCCUUCGGUUUGUACAGCCCUUUUGUUGGGAAAAUAAUCCAGCUGGCUAAUACCCGGUUGGGAUGACGGUACCCAAAGAAUAAGCACCGGCUAACUUCGUGCCAGCAGCCGCCGUAA